UGGGGAAUUUUGCACAAUGGGGGAAACCCUGAUGCAGCGACGCCGCGUGAUUUAGAAGGCCUUCGGGUUGUAAAAAUCUUUUCUAUGGGAAGAAAAUGACAGUACCAUAGGAAUAAGGACCGGCUAAUUACGUGCCAGCAGCCGCGGUAAUACGUAAGGUCCAAGCGUUGUCCGGAAUCAUUGGGCGUAAAGGGUACGUAGGCGGGUAAGCAAGUUAGAAGUGAAAUCCUAUAGCUCAACUAUAGUAAGCUUUUAAAACUGCUCAUCUUGAGGGAUGGAAGGGAAAGUGGAAUUCCUAGUGUAGCGGUGAAAUGCGCAGAUAUUAGGAGGAAUACCGGUGGCGAAGGCGACUUUCUGGCCAUAACCUGACGCUGAGGUACGAAAGCGUGGGUAGCAAACAGG
Molecule: ribosomal RNA, 402 nt
Filed under: bacterium
Lineage: Bacteria
Description: partial 16S ribosomal RNA
Rfam family: Bacterial small subunit ribosomal RNA
Source: RNAcentral